CGCGUGGGUAACCUGCCCUUAAGUCUGGGAUACCAUUUGGAAACAGAUGCUAAUACCGGAUAAAAAAGCUACUUUCGCAUGAAAGAAGUUUAAAAGGCGGCGUAAGCUGUCGCUAAAGGAUGGACCUGCGAUGCAUUAGCUAGUUGGUAAGGUAACGGCUUACCAAGGCGAUGAUGCAUAGCCGAGUUGAGAGACUGAUCGGCCACAUUGGGACUGAGACACGGCCCAAACUCCUACGGGAGGCAGCAGCG
This 251-nucleotide ribosomal RNA is filed under the name uncultured Lactobacillus sp. RNAcentral's name for it is "partial 16S ribosomal RNA". It matches the Rfam family "Bacterial small subunit ribosomal RNA", at positions 114 to 356 of the family's 1533-position model. Lineage: Bacteria; Bacillati; Bacillota; Bacilli; Lactobacillales; Lactobacillaceae. The record is from RNAcentral.